RNAcentral lists this ribosomal RNA (221 nucleotides) under uncultured bacterium. RNAcentral's name for it is "partial 16S ribosomal RNA". It matches the Rfam family "Bacterial small subunit ribosomal RNA", at positions 524 to 743 of the family's 1533-position model. The record is from RNAcentral.
GACAGAGGGUGCAAACGUUGUUCGGAAUUACUGGGCGUAAAGCGCGUGUAGGCGGCUAACGUAAGUCGGGCGUGAAAUCCCACGGCUCAACCGUGGAAGUGCACUCGAAACUGCAUAGCUAGAGUCCUGGAGAGGAAGGUGGAAUGCUUGGUGUAGAGGUGAAAUUCGUAGAUAUCAAGCGGAACACCGGUGGCGAAGGCGGCCUUCUGGACAGUGACUGA